Molecule: ribosomal RNA, 320 nt
Filed under: uncultured eukaryote
Lineage: Eukaryota
Description: partial 18S ribosomal RNA
Rfam family: Eukaryotic small subunit ribosomal RNA
Source: RNAcentral
CCCUUAGAUGUCCUGGGCCGCACGCGUGCUACACUGAUACGUGCAACAAGUUUUUCUCCUGGCUCGGAAGAGUUCGGGUAAUCUUGAUAAUGCGUAUCGUGCUAGGGAUAGAUCUUUGAAAUUAUGGAUCUUGAACGAGGAAUUCCUAGUAAGCAUAAGUCAUCAGCUUGUGCUGAUUACGUCCCUGCCCUUGUACACACCGCCCGUCGCUGCUACCGAUUUUGAGUGAUCCGGUGAACCUUCUGGACUGUAUUCGGGCUUGACCCGGACGUGGGAAAUUAAGUAAACCUUAUCACUUAGAGGAAGCAGAAGUCGUAACA